UUUCUGGGAAUGUAUAGUAAAAAAUACAAUUUUGAUUAUUCUUUAUUUAAUCUAUUCAAAUUUUAAAAAUAAAAAAAACUUAGUCAAAAAGCUGAAAAAUACUUUGUCAGUGUUGCAUCCCUAUUUGAAGCUUUUUAUUUUCAGAAAUUUGGAUUUAAUAGUCUCUAACUGUAAAAUACUUGUAGGAGGCAUAAUGAAAUAAAGGUUAGGUUAAUAAAAAAAAUGACAAUAUGUCUAAAAUACUGACAAUGUUAACUUUACCCAUUCUAAAAUGUCUUGUACUAUAUAUUUACUAGUGCUGAUUCAUUUUAUUUUACAAGGAAUUACGUUAUUAUUCAACUAAUGCUUGUUUUUUGUUUUAAAACAAUGGCUUUCGUUUUUCUGUCUGGGUUGGAAGAAAGUUUAUUUUUUGUAAAAAAAGAUUUGUGUUUUAUUUGUUAUUCAAAUGUGUUUUUAUUUUUUCAAGCAUUUGUGUUUAAUGCUUAUUAUAUUAUUACAUACAUAUUUUUUUUUUAAUAUUUCGCAUCUGAGAGAAAAAAUUUUAAAUCGCAUUUGUUUUGAAAAUAUAAAAAUAAAUUAUUUACGUAGAACUUGCAACCUUAGGAGCCCCCAAAUGGUUUCUUUUUUUUUUGCUGUUUGCAAAAGCAAAUGUUGCAAACAUUCUUGCCAAUCCAUUAGUUGAACAUGCAGCUUUCUACAACUGUUAAAUAAUAAAAACCAAAUUCUCAUCGAUGUUUUUUUUAUAGACUUAACUACCAGGAUAAUGGUAAAAAAUCAGUAUACUUUAGUCUUUCUAAUUCUCUAAAUGAAAGCUUAACAUUUGCCGCUUUAGCAAUGAAAAUUUUUUUCUACCUUUUUUUUUCUGUUCAGUAAUUCUAUUAAUUACAUCAAAUAUAUAAGACAGAAUUAUAAUAGCUUUGUUAUAAUAUUAUGAUAAUAGCUUUGUAAAAAUAUUAGGAACUGAACUGGCUUUAGGAAAUUACCAAAAGCAAAUGCAUAAAAUCAAAUAUUUUUCUAUAAAAAGAUCUUUAGUUCAUUACACAAAUAUAGUAAAUAAUCGUGCACUUUAUUUGGAAAUUUCCAUUAAUUGUGAACAUUUGGUAUUAAUUUAUAACAGUUGUUUUUAACUAUUUUUGAGUUUUGUUUGAUAAAUGCUUGGGUAUGUGAAAAAUUAUGAUACACAGUAGUAUCUAAAAAAAUAAUUUAAGGCUAAGUUUAUUUUGUAAAAAUGGAGCUCAGCACUGUUAUCAUCCUUUGUCAUCAAUAAACUAUCACACUCCAGUCCAUCUAUUAUAUAUUAAUGUUAUAAGAACCAUUUAAUAAAUAUUUUCCUAUUAA
Molecule: non-coding RNA, 1338 nt
Organism: Parasteatoda tepidariorum (common house spider)
Lineage: Eukaryota; Metazoa; Arthropoda; Arachnida; Araneae; Theridiidae
Source: RefSeq, a predicted model, not a curated record